AAAUUGAAGAGUUUGAUCAUGGCUCAGAUUGAACGCUGGCGGCAGGCCUAACACAUGCAAGUCGAACGGUAACAGGAAGCAGCUUGCUGCUUUGCUGACGAGUGGCGGACGGGUGAGUAAUGUCUGGGAAACUGCCUGAUGGAGGGGGAUAACUACUGGAAACGGUGGCUAAUACCGCAUAACGUCGCAAGACCAAAGAGGGGGACCUUCGGGCCUCUUGCCAUCAGAUGUGCCCAGAUGGGAUUAGCUUGUUGGUGAGGUAACGGCUCACCAAGGCGACGAUCCCUAGCUGGUCUGAGAGGAUGACCAGCCACACUGGAACUGAGACACGGUCCAGACUCCUACGGGAGGCAGCAGUGGGGAAUAUUGCACAAUGGGCGCAAGCCUGAUGCAGCCAUGCCGCGUGUAUGAAGAAGGCCUUCGGGUUGUAAAGUACUUUCAGCGGGGAGGAAGGUGUUGUGGUUAAUAACCGCAGCAAUUGACGUUACCCGCAGAAGAAGCACCGGCUAACUCCGUGCCAGCAGCCGCGGUAAUACGGAGGGUGCAAGCGUUAAUCGGAAUUACUGGGCGUAAAGCGCACGCAGGCGGUCUGUCAAGUCGGAUGUGAAAUCCCCGGGCUCAACCUGGGAACUGCAUUCGAAACUGGCAGGCUUGAGUCUUGUAGAGGGGGGUAGAAUUCCAGGUGUAGCGGUGAAAUGCGUAGAGAUCUGGAGGAAUACCGGUGGCGAAGGCGGCCCCCUGGACAAAGACUGACGCUCAGGUGCGAAAGCGUGGGGAGCAAACAGGAUUAGAUACCCUGGUAGUCCACGCCGUAAACGAUGUCUACUUGGAGGUUGUGCCCUUGAGGCGUGGCUUCCGGAGCUAACGCGUUAAGUAGACCGCCUGGGGAGUACGGCCGCAAGGUUAAAACUCAAAUGAAUUGACGGGGGCCCGCACAAGCGGUGGAGCAUGUGGUUUAAUUCGAUGCAACGCGAAGAACCUUACCUGGUCUUGACAUCCACGGAAGAAUUCAGAGAUGGAUUUGUGCCUUCGGGAACCGUGAGACAGGUGCUGCAUGGCUGUCGUCAGCUCGUGUUGUGAAAUGUUGGGUUAAGUCCCGCAACGAGCGCAACCCUUAU
This 1118-nucleotide ribosomal RNA is filed under the name Salmonella enterica. Its description in RNAcentral is "bacterial SSU rRNA". It matches the Rfam family "Bacterial small subunit ribosomal RNA", at positions 1 to 1108 of the family's 1533-position model. The record is from RNAcentral. Lineage: Bacteria; Pseudomonadati; Pseudomonadota; Gammaproteobacteria; Enterobacterales; Enterobacteriaceae.